AUUGAACGCUGGCGGCAGGCCUAACACAUGCAAGUCGAGCGGUAGAGAGGAGCUUGCUCCUCUUGAGAGCGGCGGACGGGUGAGUAAUGCCUAGGAAUCUGCCUGGUAGUGGGGGAUAACGUUCGGAAACGGACGCUAAUACCGCAUACGUCCUACGGGAGAAAGCAGGGGACCUUCGGGCCUUGCGCUAUCAGAUGAGCCUAGGUCGGAUUAGCUAGUUGGUGAGGUAAUGGCUCACCAAGGCGACGAUCCGUAACUGGUCUGAGGGGAUGAUCAGUCACACUGGAACUGAGACACGGUCCAGACUCCUACGGGAGGCAGCAGUGGGGAAUAUUGGACAAUGGGCGAAAGCCUGAUCCAGCCAUGCCGCGUGUGUGAAGAAGGUCUUCGGAUUGUAAAGCACUUUAAGUUGGGAGGAAGGGCAGUAAAUUAAUACUUUGCUGUUUUGACGUAC
Molecule: ribosomal RNA, 454 nt
Filed under: Pseudomonas sp. oral taxon D11
Lineage: Bacteria; Pseudomonadati; Pseudomonadota; Gammaproteobacteria; Pseudomonadales; Pseudomonadaceae
Description: bacterial SSU rRNA
Rfam family: Bacterial small subunit ribosomal RNA
Source: RNAcentral